RNAcentral lists this ribosomal RNA (456 nucleotides) under uncultured bacterium. RNAcentral describes it as "partial 16S ribosomal RNA". It matches the Rfam family "Bacterial small subunit ribosomal RNA", at positions 338 to 795 of the family's 1533-position model. The record is from RNAcentral.
CCUACGGGGCGCAGCAGUGAGGAAUAUUGGUCAAUGGUCGGGAGACUGAACCAGCCAAGCCGCGUGAGGGAUGAAGGUACAGAGUAUCGUAAACCUCUGUUGUCAGGGAACAAAGGCGGGGACGCGUCCCCGGAUGAGUGUACCUGAAGAAAAAGCAUCGGCUAACUCCGUGCCAGCAGCAGCGGUAAACCGGAGGAUGCGAGCGCUAUCCGGAUUUAUUGGGUUGGAAGGGUGCGCAGGCGGUCUUUUAAGGCAGCGGUCAAAGCCAGGGGCUUAACCCCGGCCCGCCGUUGAAACUGGCAGUCUCGAGUUGGAGAGAAGUAUGCGGAAUGCGCGGUGUAGCGGUGAAAUGCAUAGAUAUCGCGCAGAACUCCGAUUGCGAAGGCAGCAUGCCGGCUCCACACUGACGCUGAGGCACGAAAGCGUGGGUAUCGAACAGGAUUAGAUACUGUAGUC